ACACUGCUGAGGAGUCCCACAACAGGACGAAACGGCCGUUCAGUAC
Non-coding RNA from Schistosoma mansoni, 46 nucleotides. Lineage: Eukaryota; Metazoa; Platyhelminthes; Trematoda; Strigeidida; Schistosomatidae. The record is from Rfam.